AAAAUAGAUGCACAAUUUGAAUAUGUAAUAUCAGCCAAAUCUGGAGCACAACUCGCAUCCAAUAUAUAUUCACAAUUGGAUAUUGAGAUUGUUAAAAUUACACUCUUAACUGUUUACUGUAGUUGCAAUGUUUUACUGCAGUAGAUUUUGUGUGGUCAGAUUAUAUGCCUGAUGAAUGGCUCUGAUCAUCUUUAGUGGUGACUUAGGGAGAUGUCCUAAGUCUCACAAAUCGGUUUUUAUUGUGAUAAGGAAAAUAGGUCGUAGCUACAGUGUGAGCUCGACUCCUUCUCUCACAUUCUCUUCAUCUGUUAUCCCAGCAGCAAAUAUAUUUGUGCUGUGAAAUUGUGUGAGUGCAGGUGAAUAAUUCGAAAAAAGAAACUAAAUUUUAACAAGAUUUCUGAUCACAAUGUUAGAACUGAAAACGAAACAAUAAGAAUUUCUCUGUUUGAUGCAAAUCCCAUUUUUCUAAUUUCUUUUUCCAAAUUGUUGAUAAAGAUGUGUGUGAAUCCAUAGUAGCUAUUGAAGUUACGGUGAAAUAAAUUGCUAGUGUGUGUUAGAGAUUAACUUGUAGUGCUAGAUUUUGCGGUAGUUAUGGUUGUGGAAUUGGUUGGAAUGGCAAUGAAAGGUUGUUAGAGUUAGUUUGGCAGUAAUGUGCCUAUGUGAGUUGAGUUAUCUGCUUAUGAUUUGAUUUCGGAAGCUCUCGAAUGGGACUUGUUGCUGAUUUGGUAUGUUGAAUUUCUGCUGGGUGUCUUGCAGUGCCGCGGUGAAUCGUGAAGGUAUGCAUUGUGCAUGUGUGUUUGAGUACUGUUGGUAGAAGUUGGGAAGAACAGCUAGACCUUCGGUUUUGUUAAGGAUGGGGCGUCUAAAGCUGCAAAUUGGAAUCAAGGCAGACGGAGAGCCAAAGGACUCUAAUGGAAUCUAUUAUGACAAAUAAGAAUAAGCAGCCAUGAAAGAGAAUAAGCAAAGAGAGAGUUAUAGACUAGCCGUUUUUUAGAGGGGAACAAGCAAGCAUAAGUCUGCAUGCAAGCUGUAAGUGUUCAAGUUUGUCAUCUUGCAAUGGAUUUAAGAGAGGAUACAACUUGCAUAUGAGCACUAUUGGCAUAUGUUGAAGGCAAUGAGUCUCCAUGCUUGGAGAGGCAUAUCAGAGCACAAUUUCUUUAUUGUUGGUUUGGUUAGGGAAAAAAAGAUCAUGUGAAGAGCUCAAGGUAUGAUGCUGAGGAGCAUGUAGAUUUAUGUGUUCAUAAUAAAACUAAUGUAUUUAAUGAUUUACAUGUAUAUGUAUAUGAGAUUUGUAUAUUGAGAAUGAAUGAGAAAGCUGUUGUUGGCCUAGAAA
Fragaria vesca subsp. vesca is the source of this 1333-nucleotide RNA transcript. RefSeq lists it as uncharacterized. Lineage: Eukaryota; Viridiplantae; Streptophyta; Magnoliopsida; Rosales; Rosaceae. The transcript is spliced from 2 exons. The record is from RefSeq and is a predicted model, not a curated record.